Molecule: long non-coding RNA, 301 nt
Organism: Homo sapiens (human)
Lineage: Eukaryota; Metazoa; Chordata; Mammalia; Primates; Hominidae
Source: Ensembl
CCCACCUGAGCGGCGCAUCCUCAGGGCCUGGGCCUGGCCUCCUUGCCUGUGAGAUGGCACUGUGACGGUGCCCACCUCGUGGGGUGUGUGAGGGCCGAGUGAAAUCGUGCAUUUGCGGAGAAGAAAGGAAGGAGAGCUGAGUGUGGUGAAAAAAGUGAAGAGUGCUGGCUUUGGAAGCAUGUAUGCUAAAAUUGGAACCACACAGAGAUGACCAUGACCCCUGUGCAAGGAUGCUGUGCAAAUUCAUGAAGCAUUCCGUAUUUUUAUAAGUAAAUAAAUGGAAAAAAGUGUAAAGAAAAAA